RNAcentral lists this transfer RNA (73 nucleotides) under Marmota monax (woodchuck). RNAcentral's name for it is "tRNA.Phe". Lineage: Eukaryota; Metazoa; Chordata; Mammalia; Rodentia; Sciuridae. The record is from RNAcentral.
AGGGAUGUAUUUCAGUGGUAGAAUGUUUGCCUAAAAUGUCUGAUGCCUGGGUUUUCAAUCCCCAGCACCUCAA